Molecule: ribosomal RNA, 714 nt
Filed under: uncultured Bacillus sp.
Lineage: Bacteria; Bacillati; Bacillota; Bacilli; Caryophanales; Bacillaceae
Description: bacterial SSU rRNA
Rfam family: Bacterial small subunit ribosomal RNA
Source: RNAcentral
GACGAACGCUGGCGGCGUGCCUAAUACAUGCAAGUCGAGCGGACAGAUGGGAGCUUGCUCCCUGAUGUUAGCGGCGGACGGGUGAGUAACACGUGGGUAACCUGCCUGUAAGACUGGGAUAACUCCGGGAAACCGGGGCUAAUACCGGAUGCUUGAUUGAACCGCAUGGUUCAAUUAUAAAAGGUGGCUUUUAGCUACCACUUACAGAUGGACCCGCGGCGCAUUAGCUAGUUGGUGAGGUAACGGCUCACCAAGGCGACGAUGCGUAGCCGACCUGAGAGGGUGAUCGGCCACACUGGGACUGAGACACGGCCCAGACUCCUACGGGAGGCAGCAGUAGGGAAUCUUCCGCAAUGGACGAAAGUCUGACGGAGCAACGCCGCGUGAGUGAUGAAGGUUUUCGGAUCGUAAAACUCUGUUGUUAGGGAAGAACAAGUACCGUUCGAAUAGGGCGGUACCUUGACGGUACCUAACCAGAAAGCCACGGCUAACUACGUGCCAGCAGCCGCGGUAAUACGUAGGUGGCAAGCGUUGUCCGGAAUUAUUGGGCGUAAAGCGCGCGCAGGCGGUUUCUUAAGUCUGAUGUGAAAGCCCCCGGCUCAACCGGGGAGGGUCAUUGGAAACUGGGGAACUUGAGUGCAGAAGAGGAGAGUGGAAUUCCACGUGUAGCGGUGAAAUGCGUAGAGAUGUGGAGGAACACCAGUGGCGAAGGCG